AGUCUUAAUUGGGCGUUAAGUUGCAGGGUAUAGACCCGAAACCCGGUGAUCUAGCCAUGGGCAGGUUGAAGGUUGGGUAACACUAACUGGAGGACCGAACCGACUAAUGUUGAAAAAUUAGCGGAUGACCUGUGGCUGGGGGUGAAAGGCCAAUCAAACCGGGAGAUAGCUGGUUCUCCCCGAAAGCUAUUUAGGUAGCGCCUCGUGAAUUCAUCUCCGGGGGUAGAGCACUGUUUCGGCUAGGGGGCCAUCCCGGCUUACCAACCCGAUGCAAACUGCGAAUACCGGAGAAUGUUAUCACGGGAGACACACGGCGGGUGCUAACGUCCGUCGUGAAGAGGGAAACAACCCAGACCGCCAGCUAAGGUCCCAAAGUCAUGGUUAAGUGGGAAACGAUGUGGGAAGGCCCAGACAGCCAGGAUGUUGGCUUAGAAGCAGCCAUCAUUUAAAGAAAGCGUAAUAGCUCACUGGUCGAGUCGGCCUGCGCGGAAGAUGUAACGGGGCUAAACCAUGCACCGAAGCUGCGGCAGCGAACGUAUCACCCAAGACAACUUUACGGAGUUGACGAUUGACGGAGCGAAGCGACGUCAAAGCGUUCAUUAAAGUCGAGUUGGCUUA
RNAcentral lists this ribosomal RNA (618 nucleotides) under Salmonella enterica subsp. enterica serovar Typhimurium. RNAcentral's name for it is "partial 23S ribosomal RNA". It matches the Rfam family "Bacterial large subunit ribosomal RNA", at positions 680 to 1244 of the family's 2925-position model. Lineage: Bacteria; Pseudomonadati; Pseudomonadota; Gammaproteobacteria; Enterobacterales; Enterobacteriaceae. The record is from RNAcentral.